GUAGGUAUCUUUGAAAUCGUGUCGUGCUAGGAUAGACGAUGCAAUAUCGUCUUCACGAGGAUCCUAGUAAAUGCAAGUCAUCAGCUGCGUGAUACGUCCUGCCCUUUGUACACACCGCCCGUCGCUCCUACCGAUUGAGUGAUCCGGUGAGCUGUCCGGACUGCGAUUAGUUCAGUUUCUGUUCUCUUCGCGGGAAGUUCUGCAAACCUUAUCACUUAGAGGAAGGAGAAGUCGUAACAAGGUUUCCGUAGGUGAACCUGCGGAAGGAUCAUUC
Molecule: non-coding RNA, 274 nt
Filed under: Perkinsus marinus ATCC 50983
Lineage: Eukaryota; Perkinsozoa; Perkinsida; Perkinsidae
Description: Eukaryotic small subunit ribosomal RNA
Rfam family: Eukaryotic small subunit ribosomal RNA
Source: Rfam by way of RNAcentral